CGCUGGCGGCGUGCCUAACACAUGCAAGUCGAACGAGGUCCAUCUGGUGGCAACACCAGAGAAGACCUAGUGGCGAACGGGUGAGUAACACGUGAGAAACCUGCCCCGAAGACCGGGAUAACUCUCCGAAAGGAGAGCUAAUACCGGAUGCCCCCACCUGGCCGCAUGACCGGGCGAGGAAAUGGAUUCCGCUUCGGGAGGGUCUCGCGGCCUAUCAGCUUGUUGGCGGGGUAACGGCCCACCAAGGCAUCGACGGGUAGCUGGUCUGAGAGGACGAUCAGCCACACUGGGACUGAGACACGGCCCAGACUCCUACGGGAGGCAGCAGUGGGGAAUCUUGCGCAAUGGGCGAAAGCCUGACGCAGCAACGCCGCGUGGGGGAUGAAGGCUCUCGGGUUGUAAACCCCUUUCAGCAGGGACGAACCAAGACGGUACCUGCAGAAGAAGCCCCGGCUAACUACGUGCCAGCAGCCGCGGUAACACGUAGGGGGCAAGCGUUGUCCGGAUUUAUUGGGCGUAAAGAGCUCGUAGGUGGCUGAGUAAGUCGGAUGUCAAAUUCCCAGGCUCAACCUGGGGUCCCAUCCGAUACUGCUCUGGCUAGAGUCCGGUAGGGGAGCGUGGAAUUCCUAGUGUAGCGGUGAAAUGCGCAGAUAUCAGGAGGAACACCAGCGGCGAAGGCGGCGCUCUGGGCCGGUACUGACACUGAGGAGCGAAAGCGUGGGUAGCAAACAGGAUUAGAUACCCUGGUAGUCCACGCCGUAAACGUUGGGCACUAGGUGUGGGACCUAUUCAACGGGUUC
This 800-nucleotide ribosomal RNA is filed under the name uncultured bacterium. RNAcentral's name for it is "bacterial SSU rRNA". It matches the Rfam family "Bacterial small subunit ribosomal RNA", at positions 34 to 841 of the family's 1533-position model. The record is from RNAcentral.